GUUCUGGAGGCCUCAUAUUUGUAAUAGCGCUGCUCUUCUCGUACUGUUGCACUACCACAAAUUUUCUUGUAACAUCACUAAUUCGAGUGUUAAUGUCAGCUUCACAGGAAAUGAGUUUGUAGUUGCUUAUCUAGUUUGUAUACCUCCUUUUUCGAGCUUGAAACAAGUAUCCACUACUAAAACCUGAGGCCUUGGAUUUGGUGUCGAAACUUCACCAAAAUUUUGCAAGGAUGAUACAGAUAAAAGC
This 247-nucleotide long non-coding RNA is filed under the name Fragaria vesca (wild strawberry). RNAcentral describes it as "long non-coding RNA (FVES_LNC000074)". The record is from RNAcentral. Lineage: Eukaryota; Viridiplantae; Streptophyta; Magnoliopsida; Rosales; Rosaceae.